UACGUAGGGGGCAAGCGUUAUCCGGAUUUACUGGGUGUAAAGGGAGCGUAGACGGUAAUGUAAGUCUGAUGUGAAAGCCCGGGGCUCAACCGCGGGACUGCAUUGGAAACUAUGUAACUAGAGUACCGGAGAGGCAGGCGGAAUUCCUAGUGUAGCGGUGAAAUGCGUAGAUAUUAGGAGGAACACCAGUGGCGAAGGCGGCCUGCUGGACGAUGACUGACGCUGAGGCUCGAAAGCGUGGGGAGCAAACAGG
Molecule: ribosomal RNA, 253 nt
Filed under: uncultured bacterium
Lineage: Bacteria
Description: partial 16S ribosomal RNA
Rfam family: Bacterial small subunit ribosomal RNA
Source: RNAcentral